UGUGGGAGAUAAACAAAAUAAAGCCAGCAGAGUGGUCAAGCUGGCCACAAACAAGUGCACCGUUAGGUUUGACUUCGUGGCUUGGGCUGGUUGGUCAAUGGGUGUUUUGUGCUCUGUCUCUGAGGCCAGGAGGGUGUCUGCUGAUGAGAUUCAUUAGCACAGAAGGAAACAACGUGGUAUUGUACUUGCUUAGCUUUUGCCUACCCGCAGACAACUUGGUAGUAGAAAGGUUAUAAGCCUUUGAGGAAGCUUGGCUCUGUAGGCUGUCUGUGCUGCUAUGCGGAUAACUUAUAGUCAGCAGGUAUCUUCAGGACAGAGCCUUUCUAAUGCAGCCUAUUGCACGGAGACAACAGGUUUCAUCAGUGCUGAUGUUCUGAGAAAACGUGGGCGAAAGAAGAGCCAGACUGAAACGAAGCAUAGAAGGAUAGACGCAGAACUGCUAGAUCUUCAGCUGCGCAAGUGCAAUAAAACACUUGUAAAUACCCCAGAAUGAGGAUCGUUACAGAUGGCACUGACAAGCACCAGGUUCACGUGGAAGUCCUUGUAUCACUGCAUGAAGGAAAAAGAAGAUAGGAAUGAUAAGCCUGAAGUUUUCCUGAGCUGUGUGACAGGUGUGAGCAGAUGAAGUUUAUAAGCAUGGGAUGUAAAUGCUGGUUGAAAUACUACGAGUGCGCGUUUUCCUUUGGUGAGAAGGCCAAGAAGAUUGCUGAUCAGUGCUGUCUGUCAAGCCAUACUAGAAGGGCUCUGAGUGCUUCACAUUGCACUUGAUACCCGAGCAGAGAAGGGGCAGGUAGAAGCUAAAAGGGUGCAGGUCCCCUAGGCACCCACCUGUAAAGACACUCCAGGCAGACCAAUCCAUGCCUUUCUUCUCUCAUUCCGGCUCUGGAGGACAGAUCUUUACCAGGAGCCUUCUGUCAAACAGCGUUGGAUGGCUGAAUAUUCAUGUGCAGCCUGUUUUUGGAGCCAGCGUGAGCAGAGCUGUUGAACUGCUAAUGGCAGUUGAAAGUGUUAAUUUUCACACUGAGGUAAAACAUCCCAAAUUUUGGAGAUUUCGCUGGAGUCAGGGCCGAAGUUCCCAACAGCUUUAAAGUGUGCAUUUGUGAAAUGCGGAGUUUGAACACUAAGUCCCUCUUAAAAUGCUUUAUUUCAUCUGAAAAUCUCAGACUUGGUGUUGCUUUGUCAAACUCAACUUUUUUUCCCCCUCUUAGAGAGCUUGACUUCCUAUUGCAGCUUUGUUUAGUUGAGUUUAUGCAUUCUUAGCUCUAACAUUAUACAGUCCGACUGGGAAUCGUGUAGUCACAGUGGGAGAUAGGAAGGAGCAGAGUAAUUUAUUCUUUAAACAAUGGGAUCAUCUGCAUUUGAGUGCAAGUUAGUUAAUAAAAGGGGUUUUAGUGGAAUAAUAAUAAUAAGAGGAAUUUUGCCUGGGUUUUGCCUGGAAAUAGUUGGGGAUGGGGAAUAGAUGGGGAAUGUGGCCCUCAAGUUGUGCCACAGAGAGUAGCUUCAUCUUCUGUAAGCAGCUACCCUGGUCACUCUUGCAUCCUUGAUGGAUGCAUCCUUAGGGAACUCGUGUCACAUCCUCUGUGCUGCGAUGAACUGGGCUGCUCUGCUUCUUCCCUGGCAAAGCAAAGGGAAGGGUCUGUCUCUGCGUGCUUGGGAGAAGAGUGGAAUAGAAACAGACUGGGAAGGCCGGAGGGCUUUGACCAGAUCCUAGAACAAAACGGAGUGGAUAAUUACUGCUGGCAAAAAGACUGAACCGCAUGAUACUGUUUAACCUGAGAUGAGCCCAUGCUAGGACAAGCAGCAAUUCCAGCUGUGUUUAGAAGCCAAAUUAGGUAUUGAGUGGUGCCUAGUAGAGAUAUGCUAGGUGCAGGGAAAUUAGUGGUCUGACUCCCCUUAGCAUGAGCUGGGGCAGGACUUGACCUUGGACCUGCAGUGAGUACUGUGAGAGUUUCUCCUGGCCUGUAAACCAAGUAACCGAGCGUUAUUACGUACACGUGCACACAAUAGUGCUUAGAGCCUUUCUGCUGAGGUCUUUCCUUGGGGAUCCAUAUAAAAUACUUCUCACAAAAGCUGCCCUGUGCGCAAACAGAGGAAACUCCAUCUAGUGACGUAAAAAGAAAAGCCAACAAAACCUUUUCACACGUGUAUGUGCAUUACCUCUUAUCUUACUGCCAGUCUGUUGAAGAUAUCAGUCCAGCUACGCAGCGCUCACCAUAUGUGAGACUUAAAGUGCUGCCUGGGAAGCACUUCCAGGCCCUGUUUUGUAUUCUGCCAUUGCAAGCAAAAAUGUCCCCUUUGUCAUGUCAGUGAAUGAAUAUUCUUGUUCCCCUUUCUCCUUGGAUUUAUGUCAACCCUGAGUUUCAACCGAGUUUGAUCUCCUUGCUUUAUUGUAUUGCAAACAGUAGUCAAUAGCUCUUCGGCUUGAGAUUGCCUGGAUUUAUUUUCAGGUCAAGUCAACUCUCCUUGACCCACAUCUGAACCAAAAUACAUUCCCAGAAGAUUCCCCCCACAGGAUAUCGGUUCCAAAGACAGAGUGACAUUGUAAUGAGUUCAAGGUUUCAGUUCAGUACAACAGAGUCCCUGUUGGUGUGGGGAAGGCAAGCAAGCCAUCCUUCUUGUCUCAGAGCUGAGACCUCUCCUGGGGCUUUUCAGAGCAUAUUUUGUCAUCCACUGGUUACUGCUCUUCAUAGGACAAUGCCAUUGAUUGCAUCCCUAGUAUUUGCAGUCUCCUGACUGGUCUUGGUUCUGUGCACGUGCGUAUUCAUGGCUAUAAUGUGUGUGUGUGGGGAAUUUGGUGUGCAGGCUUUAAACAGCUGAUGGGUUGCUCUGCAUUCAUGAUUUUCUUUUUAAAUUCAUUUUUCUUAAAGAGAACAAAAAAUGGCAUCUCCUUUGGGGAACUGUCUGGCACACAGGCAAAACCAAAUGAUAUUGCAUCAUAAAGUAAAAACACUGCUUUGAAGAGCUGGGACAAAAAUGGAAUGAACUCAUGAAUUUAUCCUGGAUGAUAAAUCUUCCUUCAAAAGAAAGCAGCCUUAUGUUUAGUACAAAAGACUGUUUAUUUCUUCUAUGGAAAAAAAAGAAGUGGUGUAAUCGGAUAGGAUUAACUUUCCAAGGGGCCCUGGACAGAAGCUGAAGUAUGGGCUGCCUUCUUGUGCUCACAUUGGAUAAUUUGAGCUCUGGAGUAGUCUAAGACCCCUCUGGCUUCCUACAGCAUUUGGCUGUGACCAGCUGCCAGCAUGACUUGCACCUAUAGCCAGCAUUAAGAACCCCAGCAACAAGAGUUUCUAGAGGCAAAAGAAAUCCAAAGUGCUUGGCUGGUAUAAGCAGCUUGUCUCAGCUGGGAACCUGGCCCAGGUGUGGGUAGAAAUACAGCCUUAUUGGUGUUCUUCAUCUCAAGCAGCAGUUAAAUACGUUUUUAGCAAAUACCAAUAAUGUACGGCUGACUUAAUGUUGCAUUAAGAAUCUUUGUGGGCUGUGUGUUCUGACUUUGUUGUUUUGACCGUUGGUGGUUGAUGUUGCAUUCGCCCUUUUAAUUUCACCUACUCAAUUACCUAGGAACAGUCUUGUGCGUGCUUUUGUCAGCGGGAGCGAUGAUGCUUCCAAUUUCACACCUCAGUGGAAUGGAUGGGAAAGUUUUGGCUGAGAUAGCUGUGUAGGCAAAAGCAAAGAGGAAAGUGAGAGCCCAGUUUGCAUGUGUGUGCGCUUUUAUUUUUGCUAGAAGUCCCAGGCAAUCCGAGUGAUAAGCAAGCCCCUUCAUUAAACCUUUCUGAUGGACCAAGUUGAGUUCCCUGUGCUUGAGCUGGGUAAGGUUCUGACUUGCCCGUGUUGAAUUAUUGUGUGAGAGCUGUUAAACGGUCAUUGUUACUUUGUGUUGGUAAGUUUGGCUGUUUUACCCUUGUUCCUCCAGGUAGAAUAAUUUUGAUAGAAUUUGCUUUGAUAGAAUAAUUUGCACGGCAGUUUUUUGCAGGUAAAGGUCGUGGUCAUGAACAGUUACUGUAUGUUAACUUGUAUGCACCUUGAAGACCUUCCCAGAGCUAUUAUGAGAGCAGCUGUACAGCAGAACAACACUGAACCCGUUUGGGAUGACUGGACUCGUGCUUACGGAGCUGUGUGAAGUUGAUCUGAGCCAGUCUUGAAAAUAGAGGCAUGUGAAUUGGAGAUAUUUGGGAGAGCAGCUUUGCUUCUUGGCUAAUGCAGGCAAUUGCAUUUAGGUGCCCGGGGGUGAAAGGAACAUCCCUUCCCAGGUAUGAGGAUCCUAUGGUUCCCCCAAGGGAGGUCCUCUAGGUUACAAGAAAUUGGUUACAACCAGCGUGGAAAAAUUUACCACUGCUGAAAAAGUUUACAGCUUUACUGAUAAUUUUCCACUAGGUUUUUGAUUCACUGGAGUGCCUGGCACCAUCUUGUUUCAGUCUUGUGCAUCUGAUGCAAUACAAAAUGAAGAUACUUGUAGGAUUCUGAGAGGGAGCUGUCAUCUGGAGAGGAAAUGCGCAUAGCAGCGGAUUCCAGCGUUCUCCAUGCUUCAAGCCAACCUGGGGGAAAUUGGAACCUGCGUCUCCUAUGCAGCUGCCCUAAAGGUAGGGAGAAAGGGAAGAUUAGGUCCCAUUUGAAAGGAGUGGAAGACCUGUGCAGCUGAAGCAGGGCUAUAGUGAGCCCUUAUUUUGCAGCUGGCCUUCCAGUUCUACCCAAACCCUGAGAGCCUGGCAAUUUCUAGUGCUGAGCCCGGCAGCAGUCAGAGUUCCAAAGGAGCAUGCCAGAUAAUUCCCACCCAACAAACAUCAAACCUGUGGAGAACUUAGUUGUGAUGCAUUCGUUGUCUCACCUGCUGUCAGCGUUUGCUAGCAGGCUAGACAGCAUUCAUAAUGGGCCCAGUAAAAAAUUACCCUUUGUGUUCAUGUAAUAUUUCAAGGAACUGUGGCUCAAUUGGGGUGACCUUCAUUCUCAGCUCCCAUGCGUGGGCUUAGGUCCAGUAACUCCAGUCAGGCUCUGCUGACUUUCGGCAGCUGGGACUUGGGCCUUGCUUUUUAUGUCCCUUAUUCUAUGCUCAUGUAGUCAGUUUCCCUUGCCAAGAUUAUAUUUGCUUUCCUUCCUAAAGGACUGCUCUAAAUAUCAUGCUUUAAAACAAUGUGUCUUUUCUCCCCACAGAGAACAAUAUGAUAUGCCACUGUUGAAUUAAUAUGUCUAUGAAAAGUGAAUAUAAUCUCCCCAGUAGAUCCCCUUUCCAAAAGAUUUAUGAUUUAAUGAAUUUUUUAUUUCUUACCGGUGUGUAGCAUUCAGUCAUUUUACACCUAGCAGGAAUUUUUCCCAAGGAAGCAAGGCAAGGUGGAGAGGGGGGUUCCACCAUCCUGAUUCAAAUCCUUUUUUUCCCCUCUCUGCUCUGCUGUGCCACUUGUAACACUCAUUGCUGCUGCAGAUUCUGUCAGAAUCUACCCUUAAAAUGUGCAGGUUGUGAUGCUGGGCUGAGACAGUGCAAUAUGGAGAGAAGUUUGGAGCAGUGCUUAUAUAAAAACCAAUGCCUCUGAAGUCUUCGUUGCUCUCUGCUCGACUGCUCUAGGCAGGAUUUCUUGCUCAUAGUCCUACUCUAUCUUCCUUGUGGUCGUGGUCCAGUGCAUUUUCAAAUAAAUUGCUAUAAUGCCUCUGACAGUAGAUUAUGAAGCCACAAAUAACAUCCGCAGGUAACACCUUUAUUUAGUGGAAGAGGAGUUAAAGCAGAAGUGAGCUGUGAAGAAGAGAGCUGUUACAGAUAAUUAUUAGCUAUGUGGGUAAUAUUCCUAAUUAAGCCAGCAAUUGAUUUCUCUCUCUUAGCCUUGAAAAUGGGAAUUGAUUGCUCUGCUGGCCCUUCCCUUGGCUGCUAGGAUGCGUGCCGUACCUAUGCUUGGCUUUUGGGAAACUUGCUGGGGUCAGCGGCUGCAGAUCCUGCUGGGAUGGACAGAAAGUGCUGGCAGGGUGACUGGGCAAGGGGCACUGGCAUUAACCUCUCUUAUGCUGUGUCUUCAGAGGAGAAAGACAAAGAGCAGCUACAAUCCUGGGUGGCCCCAUUGAUUGAGACGCAUGUGAAGCGGUGCGUGCUUUAUAUUGUCUCCCUGAAUCAGCACUGUUCAUCAUCACUUGUCAAGAGGGGAAGUGAAACUGGACUGUGCCACAGUCACGGCUUGCUGGACAUUCCUUGUUUCCUGCCAUUUCUCAGAGGUGUCUCCAGAUUUCUUACAGAGCGAGGAACGUGACUGGCAGAGGACAGAGAACCUUCAUGAAGGAGAGAGGAAGUAUGACAGUUCUCUCUAUCUCCACUGGUCAGAGCUCACCCCUAUGUGUGUUUAUCUUCAGCGCUGAGCACAGCAGAGUGUUGAUUUCAUGCAAAGCCCUAUGCUGCCCACGGACAUGGAUAGCAGAGGCUUGUGCUGGGAGAAUCCUGCUGCUGAAGACAGCCUGCUUGCUGUCACCCUUCAAACCAAAAAGCGCAGCUGUGGAGCUGGAGGCUGGGGCUGCUGGCUUUGUCAAGCAGUUGCCUGAUGUUCAGGAUUCAGCCUUUAGAGUUUCUCUGCACUGCCUGCAGUCUGGGAUGGCAAACUCCAGGUGUCAAGCCGCGUUACAAUUGCUGAACAAGUUCUUGCUCGGUUCUCAUGGCGUAAAUCCACGUCCCAGGAGAGAAGGAAACUUGGAUGGGAUUUUCAGAGCCUGAUUUAGCCAAGGGCACACACUUAUUUUUAAACUGAAGCCUGUCAUUGUCUGAACUCAUCAUACUUCAAUUCCGCCAGCAUUCGCGGGCUUCAGCGAGCAUGCAGAAUUUAAGCGAAUGCCAAAAUGCUUUGCUCAUUGACAGCUGCGAAGUUGGGAGGAUCUAACUAUCCUCAUCUGGGGAAGGGAGCGAGGUACGUUUCAUCUCACCUGCUCCAUCUGUGGGACAGCAAGGGGCUCAUCCUUCUGUCCUUCUCCUUCCUGGCACCUAAAACACGGUGGGAUAGGCUAACUUCAGUGCAUCCUUUCAGCUAUGGGAGGGUUCAUGUCCACAGCUUAAUCAUCUCCUCCUUGCUAGCAGAGAAACUGAGGCUGAUUAACGCUCUUUGCAUGCAGGAUGCAAAUCUGAUGCAUCCAUGGACUUUGGUGAUGUUUGAAUGGAAGCUUUUGAUUGCCCACGGAAAUAAGUUUAAGUAUUGUUGGAUAAACAAAAUGCAUACUUUUUAAUGGUGCUUCGCUCCCUCGCUGGAGCGUGCCCAGAGAAGGGCAACAGAGUGGUGAUGGUCUGCAGCACAAGUCUUAUGGGGAGCAGCUGAGGGAACUGGUGUUGUUCAGCAUGGAGGAAGACCAGGGGAAACCUCGUUGCUCUCUACAGCUCCCUGAUGGGAAGCUGUGGUGAGGAGGCAGUAGCAGCAAUUGUAUGAGAGGUGAUGGCCUCAGGUAGCACCAGGGAAGGUUCGGGUUGGAUACCGGGAAGCAUUUCUUCUCAACAAGAGCAGUGAUGCAGUGGCACAGCUGCCCAGGGAGGUGGCGGGGGACCCUGGGGCUGUUCCGUAACCGUGGGGAUGUGGCACUGAGGGAUGUGGGCAUGGUGGGAUGGGCUGGGGUUGGACUGGGUGGUCUUUCAAGUCUUUGCAAGCGGAACGGUUGUGUGGUUCCUUCACAGGGCAGGUGCUUAGAUAGCUUUCCUUUAACGAGGAGAGAUGCAGCGGGGAUUUCAGCUGUAGCAGGCACGACUCUGACACCCUCUCACUUUUCCUUGGCGUUACUUUUUCUCCGCUUUGCGAGGGAGCAGAGGUGAGAUUCCCUGCGUGCUGCUGACCGAGGCUCUCUCCACUUGACCCAGCCCGGUGUACGCUGGAGGCAUAAGAACAGCCGGGCGAGCCCCCCGAGCUGUCCCGGGCCGGGGGCGGGCGGCGGGGCCGGGCAGGGCCGCCCUCCGGAGGCGGUCUCCCGUUGCCGCUAUAAGGGCCGACGGCGGCG
This is an RNA transcript of Tympanuchus pallidicinctus (lesser prairie-chicken), 7935 nucleotides long. It is a transcript of the gene named atypical chemokine receptor 3, with no coding region annotated. NCBI's taxonomy places the organism in Eukaryota, Metazoa, Chordata, Aves, Galliformes, Phasianidae. The transcript is spliced from 8 exons. The record is from RefSeq and is a predicted model, not a curated record.